Molecule: microRNA precursor, 98 nt
Filed under: Ovis aries (sheep)
Lineage: Eukaryota; Metazoa; Chordata; Mammalia; Artiodactyla; Bovidae
Description: miRNA (ENSOARG00000023415.1)
Source: RNAcentral
UCAUGAACAGCCAAGUGAUAUAUAUAUAUAUAUGUGUGUGUGUGUGUGUGUGUGUGUAUAUAUAUAUACACACACACACACACAAAUGUUUAUAUUCA